AUUGAACGCUGGCGGCAGGCCUAACACAUGCAAGUCGAACGGACACAGGAGACAGCUUGCCGUUUGGCUGACGAGUGGGGGAGGAGCGAGAAAUGUGUGGGAAAUAGCUUGAUGAAGGGGGUAAAAUACUGGAAACGGUACUUAAUACGGCAUAUCGAUGGAAGCUCAAAGAGGGGGAGUUUCAGGCGUUUUGCCAUCGGAUGAGCCCAGUUGGGAGUCGGUAGUAGGUAGGGCAACGGCUUACCUAGGCGACGAUCCCUAGCUGGUCUGAGAGGGUGAACCGCCACACUGGAACUGAGACACGGUCCAGACUCCUACGGGAGGCAGCAGUGGGGAAUCUUGCGCAAUGGGCGAAAGCGUGAUGCAGCCAUGCCGCGUGUAUGAUGAAGGCCUUCGGGUUGUAAAAUGCUGUCAGCGGGGAUGAAGGAAGUUAAUUUAAUCGCUGUGCUUAUUGACGUUACCCGCAGAAGAAGCCCCGGCUAACUCCGUG
Molecule: ribosomal RNA, 490 nt
Filed under: uncultured bacterium
Lineage: Bacteria
Description: partial 16S ribosomal RNA
Rfam family: Bacterial small subunit ribosomal RNA
Source: RNAcentral